GAUAAAUACAAGAUAAUACAUUUUAUGUCAAUACAUUUAGAGAAUCAGUAUGUCUGGAGACGUCGCCGAUACAAAUAGUGUUCCAGAUUUAUAUAUAAUCAACAAUGAUAAUUAUAAAAUGAUGAGAUCAUGGUCUAUGAAUUAAGGAAUUAUUGAAAAAUAUGGAGAUCAAAACUUUUUAAAAAAAAAAUAAUCGAUAGAAAGUAAAUGCAAAAUAAUACAGUACGUAGAAAUGAUUAGAAUUUUCGAAAGAUUAAAUCAAUAUUCCUAUGAAGUAUUGAAAUCAUUAUUAUAUUUACUGAUGAAAGUAUAUUUAACAUAUCGAAUGGAUGAUAUGCUAUUUGGAAAGAAAAAAA
This is a long non-coding RNA of Vespa mandarinia (Asian giant hornet), 356 nucleotides long. RefSeq lists it as uncharacterized. Lineage: Eukaryota; Metazoa; Arthropoda; Insecta; Hymenoptera; Vespidae. The record is from RefSeq and is a predicted model, not a curated record.